AUGUCUAUGUAGAAAAUGUCAGUGUUAGUAGCCAAAAAGAGUCAUAUGAUACAAGUAGUUCUAAUUUAACAGUUUCUUUGUGUUCCAAAGUGAAGAAGCGUCGACGCCACCGAUUCAGAGUAAUUUGACAGGAUUUGCACGAGGACACAAAUGUAUUCACGCUUUCAGAAAUGAGCUGACAUUUGGGACUCGUUACAAAAUUCAUCUUAAGAGUGAUAAUUACAGGCUCAUGGUUGUCAGCUUAGUUUGUUUACGUUUGUUGAAAUUCCCGAAAAUUACAACAGAAAAGAUGUAUGGUCUAUUAACAUGGCUUGGUAACCUAUCAUACACAAGGCAAAAUGAAAAUAAAAAAACUUUUCAAAUCUAGAUCGACUAGUUUUUACGAUAAUACCUGAAUUCCUAAAAUUAUUUUAAAUGCAGUUUUGGAUUCAAAAACCCAGAAAAGUGUGAAAGUGGCAUAGUUUGGACAAAUAUAGAUGAUAUCUGUCACUGAUUAAAAUCACUCAUGAGAAACAACGCUUCAAUGCAAAUCUGAUGAUGGUGUCUAAUUUUAAAAAAUUGGUAGAUUAUUCCAAAAGCAACUUGAUCUCCUAUUACCUUAUUUAAUUCUGAUUACAAGUUUUACGAUGUAAAAGUAUAAUAUAUGAAUAAAUAUAGUAUGAAAUUGAUGUUCAAUAAUUUAGUAUUGUAAUUUUUACGGAGAAACUAUAAAAUAAAUAUGACUUCUAUGGCAAACAUGUAUAAAAUGCAAGAAUGUCAUUUCCACAUAGAAGAUAGGUUUUCGGUACAAAUUUCUUUUUUGAAAUAUUCUAAAUAUUGAAUUUGUCACUUGUACCCUUUGUGAACUAGGGUUUUCAAAAAUGUUCAUUUAUUACUCUGUAUUAACUAAAUUAUAUCAUAUUGUAUUUAUAUUUUAAAUCAAUGUUCUUUAUUACAUUAAAAAAAUAACAGCCCACUUAAUAUAUAUCAUAAUUUCAAAACAAUGAGUCUAAUAGUUACACUCGCAUAAUAGACCCAAGUGUUUCACAAAUUUUAAUGGAUAAGAUAGUUUUUGUAAAGUAAAUUGCUUUGAAAUUUUAUUACACCUAAAUUUAUAAAAGAAUAUGGUUUAGUCAAUCUAAAUAAAAAUUAGA
Molecule: long non-coding RNA, 1133 nt
Organism: Daktulosphaira vitifoliae (grape phylloxera)
Lineage: Eukaryota; Metazoa; Arthropoda; Insecta; Hemiptera; Phylloxeridae
Exons: 3
Source: RefSeq, a predicted model, not a curated record